Molecule: non-coding RNA, 28 nt
Filed under: Mus musculus (house mouse)
Lineage: Eukaryota; Metazoa; Chordata; Mammalia; Rodentia; Muridae
Source: RNAcentral
UCCUAACUAUGGUGCAAUCUUUCGUGUC